RNAcentral lists this ribosomal RNA (1483 nucleotides) under uncultured organism. Its description in RNAcentral is "SSU rRNA". It matches the Rfam family "Bacterial small subunit ribosomal RNA". The record is from RNAcentral.
CGCUGGCGGCGUGCUUAACACAUGCAAGUCGAACGAAGAGCGAUGGAAGCUUGCUUCUAUCAAUCUUAGUGGCGAACGGGUGAGUAACGCGUAAUCAACCUGCCCUUCAGAGGGGGACAACAGUUGGAAACGACUGCUAAUACCGCAUACGAUCUGACCUCGGCAUCGAGGAUAGAUGAAAGGUGGCCUCUACGUGUAAGCUAUCACUGAAGGAGGGGAUUGCGUCUGAUUAGCUAGUUGGAGGGGUAACGGCCCACCAAGGCGAUGAUCAAUAGCCGGUCUGAGAGGAUGAACGGCCACAUUGGGACUGAGACACGGCCCAGACUCCUACGGGAGGCAGCAGUGGGGAAUCUUCCGCAAUGGACGAAAGUCUGACGGAGCAACGCCGCGUGAGUGAUGACGGCCUUCGGGUUGUAAAGCUCUGUUAAUCGGGACGAAAGGCCUUUUUGCGAAUAGUGAGAAGGAUUGACGGUACCGGAAUAGAAAGCCACGGCUAACUACGUGCCAGCAGCCGCGGUAAUACGUAGGUGGCAAGCGUUGUCCGGAAUUAUUGGGCGUAAAGCGCGCGCAGGCGGAUCAGUCAGUCUGUCUUAAAAGUUCGGGGCUUAACCCCGUGAUGGGAUGGAAACUGCUGAUCUAGAGUAUCGGAGAGGAAAGUGGAAUUCCUAGUGUAGCGGUGAAAUGCGUAGAUAUUAGGAAGAACACCAGUGGCGAAGGCGACUUUCUGGACGAAAACUGACGCUGAGGCGCGAAAGCCAGGGGAGCGAACGGGAUUAGAUAUCCCGGUAGUUCUGGCCGUAAACGAUGGGUAAUAGGUGUAGGAGGUAUUGACCCCUUCUGUGCCGGAGUUAACGCAAUAAGUACCCCGCCUGGGGAGUACGACCGCAAGGUUGAAACUCAAAGGAAUUGACGGGGGCCCGCACAAGCGGUGGAGUAUGUGGUUUAAUUUGACGCAACGCGAAGAGACCUUACCAGGUCUUGACCUUGAUGGACAGAACUAGAGAUAGUUUCUUUUUUUUGGAAGCCAGAAAACAGGUGGUGCACGGUUGUUGUCAGCUUGUGUCGUGAGAUGUUGGGUUAAGUCCCGCAAAGAGCGCAACCCCUAUCUUAUGUUGUCAGCACGUAAUGGUGGGAACUCAUGAGAGACUGCCGCAGACAAUGCGGAGGAAGGCGGGGAUGACGUCAAAUCAUCAUGCCCCUUAUGACCUGGGCUACACACGUACUACAAUGGGAGUUAAUAGACGGAAGCGAGAUCGCGAGAUGGAGCAAACCCGAGAAACACUCUCUCAGUUCGGAUCGUAGGCUGCAACUCGCCUACGUGAAGUCGGAAUCGCUAGUAAUCGCAGGUCAGCAUAUUGCGGUGAAUACGUUCCCGGGCCUUGUACACACCGCCCGUCACACCACGAAAGUCGGAAGUGCCCAAAGCCGGUGGGGUAACCUUCGGGAGCCAGCCGUCUAAGGUAAAGUCGAUGAUUGGGGUGAA